RNAcentral lists this unclassified non-coding RNA (542 nucleotides) under Fusarium equiseti. RNAcentral's name for it is "sequence contains 28S rRNA gene". It matches the Rfam family "Eukaryotic large subunit ribosomal RNA", at positions 86 to 651 of the family's 3401-position model. Lineage: Eukaryota; Fungi; Ascomycota; Sordariomycetes; Hypocreales; Nectriaceae. The record is from RNAcentral.
ACGGCGAGUGAAGCGGCAACAGCUCAAAUUUGAAAUCUGGCUCUCGGGCCCGAGUUGUAAUUUGUAGAGGAUGCUUUUGAUGCGGUGCCUUCCGAGUUCCCUGGAACGGGACGCCAUAGAGGGUGAGAGCCCCGUCUGGUUGGAUGCCAAAUCUCUGUAAAGCUCCUUCGACGAGUCGAGUAGUUUGGGAAUGCUGCUCUAAAUGGGAGGUAUAUGUCUUCUAAAGCUAAAUACCGGCCAGAGACCGAUAGCGCACAAGUAGAGUGAUCGAAAGAUGAAAAGCACUUUGAAAAGAGAGUUAAAAAGUACGUGAAAUUGUUGAAAGGGAAGCGUUUAUGACCAGACUUGGGCUUGGUUAAUCAUCUGGGGUUCUCCCCAGUGCACUUUUCCAGUCCAGGCCAGCAUCAGUUUUCGCCGGGGGAUAAAGGCUUCGGGAAUGUGGCUCUCUCCGGGGAGUGUUAUAGCCCGUUGCGUAAUACCCUGGCGGGGACUGAGGUUCGCGCAUCUGCAAGGAUGCUGGCGUAAUGGUCAUCAACGACCCG